Scylla paramamosain (green mud crab) is the source of this 1074-nucleotide long non-coding RNA. RefSeq lists it as uncharacterized. Lineage: Eukaryota; Metazoa; Arthropoda; Malacostraca; Decapoda; Portunidae. The record is from RefSeq and is a predicted model, not a curated record. The transcript is spliced from 5 exons.
UAUUGUUCUCCGAAACUGUGCCUCCGUGCUUGCACCUUGCCUAGUCAAACUCUUUCAGCUCUGUCUGUCAACAUCUACCUUUCCUUCUUGCUGGAAGUUUGCCUACAUUCAACCUGUUCCUAAAAAGGGUGACCGUUCUAAUCCCUCAAACUACUGUCCUAUUGCUUUAAUUUCCUGCCUAUCUAAAGUUUUUGAAUCUAUCCUCAACAGGAAGAUUCUUAAACAUCUAUCACCUCACAACCUUCUAUCUGAUCGCCAGUAUGAGUUCCGUCAAGGCCGCUCUACUGGUGAUCUUCUGGCUUUCCUUACUGAGUCUGCAGCCAGUGUGGCGGCGUAUCUUGUGUGGUGCGCGUGUGUAUCGCGUUGUGUUCCUCCUCAAAGACUUAGUGGUGGUCAAGAUAACCACGAUUGGCCAAGCCUUUCCCGAAGUGUGCUACCAGUAGUGUACAGGCUCCAUGAUACAAGGGAAUGCAGUACAAACGCAAGUCUCAACAGUAUAGAGUCAAAACCAUCCAGCACUCAGUGGCCCCAUCGCGCUGGUCAGUAGAGGACCCGAGGCCAUCAGACGCAGCGGAACCUUUCUGGGUCGUAAGGUGAUAGUCCGGGGGACGUAAAUAGCCAGACGACGCGAGGAGGAAAGUGCGGGAGACUGGAAUGAAGCGACUGGAGAGUUAUGAAGGAUGAUGCCGCCGAAGUCCCGAGCGGCUUCGAGACAAGGAAGAGAAGCUCCGCGACUCACUUGAGCCAGUCAGUCAGUGCUGUGACGCAAGGAGCAGCUUUCUCAGCGACAGGGAGCGGUGGACGGCGGAUGAAUACUUUGGCUCCCGCGCCUUCUUCUGCAUCAUGUCCGCCCGCUGACCCUGGUGGUGGGCGACGUGCGUCAGAGGAAUUGAAAAUGUAGGGGACUCGCUGCUGUGCCCUGCGUGUAGCUGUGAGGUGAAGUGCAGACGGCUGCAUUGUCUCAGCCUCGGAGGUGCCACUUGUUCAAAUUACGAAUGGUUUAAUGUUAUUUUUUGCAGGCUGUGGAAUAUUGCAGUAUCUUAUAACAAGACAAAUGAUAUAAAAAAGCAUGUA